AUACGGAGGAUGCGAGCGUUAUCCGGAUUUAUUGGGUUUAAAGGGAGCGUAGGUGGGAUAUUAAGUCAGCUGUGAAAGUUUGGGGCUCAACCUUAAAAUUGCAGUUGAUACUGGUUUCCUUGAGUACGGUAUAGGUGGGCGGAAUUCGUGGUGUAGCGGUGAAAUGCUUAGAUAUCACGAAGAACUCCGAUCGCGAAGGCAGCUCACCGGGCCGGAACUGACACUGAUGCUCGAAAGUGCGGGUAUCAAACAGGAUUAGAUACCCUGGUAGUCCGCACAGUAAACGAUGAAUACUCGCUGUUUGCGAUACACGGUAAGCGGCCAAGCGAAAGCGUUAAGUAUUCCACCUGGGGAGUACGCCGGCAACGGUGAAACUCAAAUGAAUUGACGGGG
This 393-nucleotide ribosomal RNA is filed under the name uncultured bacterium. RNAcentral's name for it is "partial 16S ribosomal RNA". It matches the Rfam family "Bacterial small subunit ribosomal RNA", at positions 523 to 918 of the family's 1533-position model. The record is from RNAcentral.